UACGUAGGGUGCAAGCGUUGUUCGGAAUCAUUGGGCGUAAAGAGCGUGUAGGUGGCUUGCCAAGUCAGAUGUGAAAGCCCUCGGCUCAACCGGGGAAGUGCAUUUGAAACUGGCAGGCUAGAGAACGGUAGAGGAAGGUGGAAUUCCAAGUGUAGAGGUGAAAUUCGUAGAUAUUUGGAGGAAUACCUGUGGCGAAGGCGGCCUUCUGGGCCGUUUCUGACACUGAGACGCGAAAGCGUGGGUAGCAAACAGG
This 253-nucleotide ribosomal RNA is filed under the name uncultured bacterium. RNAcentral's name for it is "partial 16S ribosomal RNA". It matches the Rfam family "Bacterial small subunit ribosomal RNA", at positions 524 to 776 of the family's 1533-position model. The record is from RNAcentral.